AUAGAUUGGGGGUGGGGGGCUGGGCUUAAAUCGAAAAUCUAUACGCAACUAAAACUUGGAAGAAAAAAAAUCGGGAUCGGAAUUCCAACUGUAUUCCUACCAUCAAACUCUUAGUUUCGAAAUGUGGUGUUUAUGAGAUGCGCUUGAAUGAGAUGUAACUCACCAGUUUCAAGCAACAAGCAGUCUCGUGAUGGAUAAACUGGCAGCAGAGAAUAAGGAUGAAGACGAGUUGAGCAUUCCUCGAGCUGCCUUGAACAAGAUGAUAAAGGAACUCAUUCCAAACAUUCGGGUAGCAAACGAUGCCAGAGAACUUAUUCUGAACUGUUGUACUGAGUUCAUUCACCUAGUCUCUUCAGAGGCCAAUGAAAUCUGCAACAAACAGAGCAAAAAGACUAUUUCACCGGAGCAUAUAAUUGCUGCGCUUGAUCACCUUGGUUUUGGGAAUUACAAAGAAGAUGCAGAGGCAGUGCUGGAGGAAACCAAGGCAGUCGCUGCCAAGAAAAGGAGAGGAAGUUCACGACUGGAAAAUCUGGGAAUUCCCGAGGAGGAGCUUCUCAGACAACAACAAGAAUUGUUUGCCAAGAUUGCGAGAGAUGAAGAUUCAGCCUAAUAGUCAAAGUCAUCACUGGACAGUUGGUCCGACCUACGAGAGUGAAUCGGACCAAUUACAAAUUUGUCGGUUUUGUCCGACAGUCCAAUAACUUUGAUGUUCACUGCUUGCAAUGUCCUUAGACCAACUUAUAUAGUGUCGGUUUUUUAUGUUCUCUAUCUGCAACCUUUGACCCCUGUCAAAUCCCUGUUAAUGUAAAUUUGUUUGUAACCUUUCUGUUGGAAAUGUUGAAUGUUAAAAGUGUUGUACAUAAAAUGAUGAAAGCAUAUAUAUAAUAUUAAUGAUGGAAGCGUAUAUAGAAUGUUAAAAGCGUAGUACAUAGAAUGAUGAAAGCAUAUAUAGAGUGUUAAAAGCAUAGUAUGUAGAAUGAUGAAAGCGUAUAUAGAGUGUUAAAAGCGUAGUACAUAGAAUGAUGGAAGCGUAUAUAGAGUGUUAAAAGCGUAGUACGUAGAAUAAUGGAAGCAGAUAUAUAGAGUGUUAAAAGCGUAGUACAUAGAAUGAUGGAAGCGUAUAUAGAAUGUUAAAAGCGUAGUACAUAGAAUGAUGGAAGCGUAUAUAGAAUGUUAAAAGUGCAGUACAUAGAAUGAUGGAAGCAUAUAUAGAUUGUUAAAAGCGUAUUACAUAGAAUGAUGGAAGCGUAUAUAGAAUGUUAAAAGCGUAGUACGUAGAAUAAUGGAAGCGGAUAUAUAGAGUGUUAAAAGCGUAGUACAUAGAAUGAUGGAAGCGUAUAUAGAAUGUUAAAAGUGUAGUACAUAGAAUGAUGAAAGCGUAUAUAGAGUGUUAAAAGCGUAGUACAUAGAAUGAUGGAAGCGUGUAUAGAGUGUUAAAAGCGUAGUACGUAAAAUGAUGAAAGCAUGUAUAGAGUGUUAAAAGCGUAGUACAUAGAAUGAUGGAAGCAUAUAUAGAGUGUUAAAAAAUAUUGUAAGCAUGUACAUAGAACAUUGAAGUUAUAAAUAUUUGAUAUAGUAAUAUUAUAUUCAGUUACCGCGUGCUUUGCCCCCUUGUGUAAUGUUGGACAUGAAAAAAUGCGUAUUUAACCCCUAGUGUAAAUAACCACUUUUAUAGUAACAUGACAAGUUGACAUUGGUGAUGUAAAGGGCAAAAUAUACACAAAACUAGUAGAUGAUGUUGAUACAUUAUUCCAGCAAGGGAAGUCACCAGAGGAUAGAUAUCUCUAGUCAUUGCUAAUACACAUCCAAUCUGUAAUGUCUGUCGUGAUGAUACAAUUAUUCUUAGAUUGUAUAACUAAUUCCACAACAUGCGCAUCAUUGCUAAAGGUGUUCGCAAGCUCCCAUUCAUUCUAUAAGUAUUUCAUUUUUCCAAUGUUUUUGCCUUCGAUAUCUUUACCUAUUAAAUAGCUAUUUAUUUCCUCAUGAAUGUGAACAAUAUGCUUAUGAAUCUUCAUUUAGUUCAGCCAUUCUAACUGCUGAAAAUCCUUAUAGAAAUGAAAGCAAAUGUCAAUAUUUUUUUAAAUACAUGAAGGUAUGGACAGCAGCACUUGGUGCCAGUUUCAGGAAGUGCUAACACGCCUCCAGAAGCGAAGCAGGAGCAGGCUCUUCUGGAACAACAGCAAUGGCUGCAGACUCAACAAGCCCUGCAACAACAGCAACUUCAGCUGCCCCAGCAACCUGACAGCAAUGAUGAUGACUAUUCCUAGCAACAGGACAAUGUUUCAUUCUUACUGACAUUAAUGAUUUUUAAAAUAAAUUUUACUGAGGGAA
RNA transcript from Ostrea edulis (European flat oyster), 2331 nucleotides. It is a transcript of the gene named protein Dr1-like, with no coding region annotated. NCBI's taxonomy places the organism in Eukaryota, Metazoa, Mollusca, Bivalvia, Ostreida, Ostreidae. The record is from RefSeq and is a predicted model, not a curated record. The transcript has 5 exons.